This 603-nucleotide ribosomal RNA is filed under the name uncultured fungus. Its description in RNAcentral is "eukaryotic LSU rRNA". It matches the Rfam family "Eukaryotic large subunit ribosomal RNA", at positions 23 to 641 of the family's 3401-position model. The record is from RNAcentral. Lineage: Eukaryota; Fungi.
ACCCGCUGAACUUAAGCAUAUCAAUAAGCGGAGGAAAAGAAACCAACAGGGAUUGCCCUAGUAACGGCGAGUGAAGCGGCAACAGCUCAAAUUUGAAAUCUGGCUCUUUUAGAGUCCGAGUUGUAAUUUGCAGAGGGCGCUUUGGCUUUGGCAGCGGUCCAAGUUCCUUGGAACAGGACGUCACAGAGGGUGAGAAUCCCGUACGUGGUCGCUGGCUAUUGCCGUGUAAAGCCCCUUCGACGAGUCGAGUUGUUUGGGAAUGCAGCUCUAAAUGGGAGGUACAUUUCUUCUAAAGCUAAAUAUUGGCCAGGGACCGAUAGCGCACAAGUAGAGUGAUCGAAAGAUGAAAAGCACUUUGGAAAGAGAGUCAAACAGCACGUGAAAUUGUUGAAAGGGAAGCGCUUGCAGCCAGACUUGCUUACAGUUGCUCAUCCGGGCUUUUGCCCGGUGCACUCUUCUGUAGGCAGGCCAGCAUCAGUUUGGGCGGUAGGAUAAAGGUCUCUGUCACGUACCUCUCUUCGGGGAGGCCUUAUAGGGGAGACGACAUACUACCAGCCUGGACUGAGGUCCGCGCAUCUGCUAGGAUGCUGGCGUAAUGGCUGU